Molecule: non-coding RNA, 110 nt
Organism: Acanthosepion pharaonis
Lineage: Eukaryota; Metazoa; Mollusca; Cephalopoda; Sepiida; Sepiidae
Source: the annotation of a GenBank genome assembly
ACGGCUACAUCACAUUGAAACACCAUUUCCCGUACGAUCACUAAAGUUAAGCAAUGUCAAGCCUGGUCAGUACUUAGAUGGGUGACCGCUAGAGAAUACCAGGUGCUGUA